RNAcentral lists this non-coding RNA (29 nucleotides) under Mus musculus (house mouse). The record is from RNAcentral. Lineage: Eukaryota; Metazoa; Chordata; Mammalia; Rodentia; Muridae.
UNCAACAGCCACCCCUACCUCUUUGGGCC